UCCGGCUUGUCGCCGGCAGUCUCUCUAGAGUCCCCACCAUUACGUGCUGGCAACUAAAGACGGGGGUUGCGCUCGUUGCGGAACUUAAUCCAACACCUCACGGCACGAGCUGACGACAGCCAUGCAACACCUGUCAGGGGCCCUUACGGACCCUACAUCUCUGUAGGUUUUCACCCUCCUACUACGUACAUGUCAAGGCCAGGUAAGGUUCUUCGCGUUGCAUCGAAUUAAGCCACAUACUCCACCGCUUGUGCAGGCCCCCGUCAAUUUCUUUGAGUUUUAGCCUUGCGGCCGUACUCCCCAGGCGGGGUGCUUAAUGCGUUAGCUGCGGCACGGAAGUCUUGCGACCCCCACACCUAGCACCCACCGUUUACGGCUAGGACUAC
This 386-nucleotide unclassified non-coding RNA is filed under the name uncultured Actinomycetes bacterium. Its description in RNAcentral is "uncultured actinobacterium contains 16S-23S intergenic spacer region". The record is from RNAcentral. Lineage: Bacteria; Bacillati; Actinomycetota; Actinomycetes.